AGAGUUUGAUCCUGGCUCAGGAUGAACGCUGGCGGCGUGCUUAACACAUGCAAGUCGAACGGGAUCCCUGGCGCUUGCGCCGGGGUGAGAGUGGCGAACGGGUGAGUAAUGCGUGACCAACCUGCCCCAUGCACCGGAAUAGCUCCUGGAAACGGGUGGUAAUGCCGGAUGCUCCAGAUGACCGCAUGGGAUUCUGGGAAAGCUUUUGCGGCAUGGGAUGGGGUCGCGUCCUAUCAGCUUGUUGGUGGGGUGAUGGCCCACCAAGGCUUCGACGGGUAGCCGGCCUGAGAGGGCGACCGGCCACAUUGGGACUGAGAUACGGCCCAGACUCCUACGGGAGGCAGCAGUGGGGAAUAUUGCGCAAUGGGCGAAAGCCUGACGCAGCGACGCCGCGUGCGGGAUGGAGGCCUUCGGGUUGUAAACCGCUUUUAUCGGGGAGCAAGCGAGAGUGAGUGUACCCGUUGAAUAAGCACCGGCUAACUACGUGCCAGCAGCCGCGGUAAUACGUAGGGUGCAAGCGUUAUCCGGAUUUAUUGGGCGUAAAGGGCUCGUAGGCGGUUCGUCGCGUCUGGUGUGAAAGUCCAUCGCUUACGGUGGAUCUGC
This 603-nucleotide ribosomal RNA is filed under the name Bifidobacterium pullorum subsp. saeculare. Its description in RNAcentral is "bacterial SSU rRNA". It matches the Rfam family "Bacterial small subunit ribosomal RNA", at positions 8 to 624 of the family's 1533-position model. The record is from RNAcentral. Lineage: Bacteria; Bacillati; Actinomycetota; Actinomycetes; Bifidobacteriales; Bifidobacteriaceae.